GCUGCUGUAGCUCAGUUGGUAGAGCGCAUCCUUGGUAAGGAUGAGGUCAUGGGUCCAAAUCCCAUCAGCAGCU
RNAcentral lists this transfer RNA (73 nucleotides) under Sedimentisphaerales bacterium. RNAcentral describes it as "tRNA-Thr". It matches the Rfam family "tRNA". From Rfam's summary of the family: Transfer RNA (tRNA) molecules are approximately 80 nucleotides in length. The record is from RNAcentral. Lineage: Bacteria; Pseudomonadati; Planctomycetota; Phycisphaerae; Sedimentisphaerales.